This 985-nucleotide ribosomal RNA is filed under the name Burkholderia sp. Su11. Its description in RNAcentral is "bacterial SSU rRNA". It matches the Rfam family "Bacterial small subunit ribosomal RNA", at positions 56 to 1033 of the family's 1533-position model. Lineage: Bacteria; Pseudomonadati; Pseudomonadota; Betaproteobacteria; Burkholderiales; Burkholderiaceae. The record is from RNAcentral.
UGCAGUCGAACGGCAGCACGGAGUGCUUGCACCUGGUGGCGAGUGGCGAACGGGUGAGUAAUACAUCGGAACAUGUCCUGUAGUGGGGGAUAGCCCGGCGAAAGCCGGAUUAAUACCGCAUACGAUCUACGGAUGAAAGCGGGGGACCUUCGGGCCUCGCGCUAUAGGGUUGGCCGAUGGCUGAUUAGCUAGUUGGUGGGGUAAAGGCCUACCAAGGCGACGAUCAGUAGCUGGUCUGAGAGGACGACCAGCCACACUGGGACUGAGACACGGCCCAGACUCCUACGGGAGGCAGCAGUGGGGAAUUUUGGACAAUGGGCGAAAGCCUGAUCCAGCAAUGCCGCGUGUGUGAAGAAGGCCUUCGGGUUGUAAAGCACUUUUGUCCGGAAAGAAAUCCUUGGCUCUAAUACAGUCGGGGGAUGACGGUACCGGAAGAAUAAGCACCGGCUAACUACGUGCCAGCAGCCGCGGUAAUACGUAGGGUGCGAGCGUUAAUCGGAAUUACUGGGCGUAAAGCGUGCGCAGGCGGUUUGCUAAGACCGAUGUGAAAUCCCCGGGCUCAACCUGGGAACUGCAUUGGUGACUGGCAGGCUAGAGUAUGGCAGAGGGGGGUAGAAUUCCACGUGUAGCAGUGAAAUGCGUAGAGAUGUGGAGGAAUACCGAUGGCGAAGGCAGCCCCCUGGGCCAAUACUGACGCUCAUGCACGAAAGCGUGGGGAGCAAACAGGAUUAGAUACCCUGGUAGUCCACGCCCUAAACGAUGUCAACUAGUUGUUGGGGAUUCAUUUCCUUAGUAACGUAGCUAACGCGUGAAGUUGACCGCCUGGGGAGUACGGUCGCAAGAUUAAAACUCAAAGGAAUUGACGGGGACCCGCACAAGCGGUGGAUGAUGUGGAUUAAUUCGAUGCAACGCGAAAAACCUUACCUACCCUUGACAUGGUCGGAAUCCCGCUGAGAGGUGGGAGUGCUCGAAAGAGAACCGGCGC